RNAcentral lists this ribosomal RNA (246 nucleotides) under uncultured Lactobacillus sp. RNAcentral's name for it is "partial 16S ribosomal RNA". It matches the Rfam family "Bacterial small subunit ribosomal RNA", at positions 116 to 354 of the family's 1533-position model. Lineage: Bacteria; Bacillati; Bacillota; Bacilli; Lactobacillales; Lactobacillaceae. The record is from RNAcentral.
CGUGGGUAACCUGCCCAAGAGAUCGGGAUAACACCUGGAAACAGAUGCUAAUACCGGAUAACAACCGAUGAUGCCUAUCAACUGUUUAAAAGAUGGUUCUGCUAUCACUCUUGGAUGGACCUGCGGUGCAUUAGCUAGUUGGUAGGGUAACGGCCUACCAAGGCGAUGAUGCAUAGCCGAGUUGAGAGACUGAUCGGCCACAUUGGGACUGAGACACGGCCCAAACUCCUACGGGAGGCAGCAGGC